This 488-nucleotide ribosomal RNA is filed under the name uncultured bacterium. RNAcentral's name for it is "partial 16S ribosomal RNA". It matches the Rfam family "Bacterial small subunit ribosomal RNA", at positions 28 to 523 of the family's 1533-position model. The record is from RNAcentral.
GACGAACGCUGGCGGCGUGCUUAACACAUGCAAGUCGAACGGUGAAGGUGGAGAGCUUGCUCUCUACUGGAUCAGUGGCGAACGGGUGAGUAACACGUGGGUAACCUGCCCCGAACUCUGGGAUAACUGCUGGAAACGGUAGCUAAUACUGGAUACGACCUACGAAGGCAUCUUCUGUAGGUGGAAAGAAUUUCGGUUCGGGAUGGACUCGCGGCCUAUCAGCUUGUUGGUGAGGUAAUGGCUCACCAAGGCGACGACGGGUAGCCGGCCUGAGAGGGUGACCGGCCACACUGGGACUGAGACACGGCCCAGACUCCUACGGGAGGCAGCAGUGGGGAAUAUUGCACAAUGGGCGCAAGCCUGAUGCAGCGACGCCGCGUGAGGGAUGACGGCCUUCGGGUUGUAAACCUCUUUCAGCACCGACGAAGCGCAAGUGACGGUAGGUGCAGAAGAAGGACCGGCCAACUACGUGCCAGCCGCCGCCGUAA